AGAGUUUGAUCCUGGCUCAGAACGAACGCUGGCGGCAGGCCUAACACAUGCAAGUCGAGCGCCCGCAAGGGAGCGGCAGACGGGUGAGUAACGCGUGGGAACGUGCCCUUUGGUUCGGAAUAUUCCCGGGAAACUGGGAGCAAAACCGGAUAAGCCCUUCGGGGGAAAGUUUACGCCAAAGGAUCGGCCCGCGUUAGAUUAGGUAGUUGGUGGGGUAACGGCCUACCAAGCCUACGAUCUAUAGCUGAUCUGAGAGGAUGAUCAGCCACACUGGGCCUGAGACACGGCCCAGACUCCUACGGGAGGCAGCAGUGGGGAAUCUUGGACAAUGGGCGCAAGCCUGAUCCAGCCAUGCCGCGUGGAUGACUGAAGGCCCUAGGGUUGUAAAGUCCUUUCGACGGGGACGAUAAUGACGGUACCCGUAGAAGAAGCCCCGGCUAACUUCGUGCCAGCAGCCGCGGUAAUACGAAGGGGGCUAGCGUUGUUCGGAUUUACUGGGCGUAAAGGGCGCGUAGGCGGAUUUUUAAGUCGGGGGUGAAAUCCCGGAGCUCAACUCCGGAACUGCCUUCGAUACUGAAAGUCUGGAGCACGGUAGAGGUGAGUGGAAUUCCGAGUGUAGAGGUGAAAUUCGUAGAUAUUCGGAGGAACACCAGUGGCGAAGGCGGCUCACUGGACCGUUGCUGACGCUGAGGCGCGAAAGCGUGGGGAGCAAACAGGAUUAGAUACCCUGGUAGU
Molecule: ribosomal RNA, 735 nt
Filed under: uncultured bacterium
Lineage: Bacteria
Description: bacterial SSU rRNA
Rfam family: Bacterial small subunit ribosomal RNA
Source: RNAcentral